RNAcentral lists this ribosomal RNA (446 nucleotides) under uncultured bacterium. RNAcentral describes it as "bacterial SSU rRNA". It matches the Rfam family "Bacterial small subunit ribosomal RNA", at positions 8 to 444 of the family's 1533-position model. The record is from RNAcentral.
AGAGUUUGAUCCUGGCUCAGAUUGAACGCUGGCGGCGUGCUUAACACAUGCAAGUCGUGCGAGAAAGGGGACUUCGGUCCCUGAGUAGAGCGGCGCACGGGUGAGUAACGCGUGGAUAAUCUACCCAGAUGUUCGGGAUAACGGCGGGAAACUGCCGCUAAUACCGGAUACGAUCCAAUUUCGGUUGGGUGAAAGGCGGCCUCUGCUUGCAAGCUGUCGCAUCUGGAUGAGUCCGCGUCCCAUUAGCUUGUUGGUGGGGUAAUGGCCUACCAAGGCUACGAUGGGUAACUGGUCUGAGAGGAUGAUCAGUCACACUGGAACUGAAACACGGUCCAGACUCCUACGGGAGGCAGCAGUGGGGAAUAUUGCGCAAUGGGGGAAACCCUGACGCAGCGACGCCGUGUGAGGGAAGAAGGCUUUCGGGUCGUAAACCUCUGUCGGGAGGG